This is a non-coding RNA of Apodemus sylvaticus (European woodmouse), 438 nucleotides long. NCBI's taxonomy places the organism in Eukaryota, Metazoa, Chordata, Mammalia, Rodentia, Muridae. The record is from the annotation of a RefSeq genome assembly.
CAGGCCUUUGCAGUGAGAUCUGAAAUGCCUCAGAACAGUAUGGGGAUCAAGAUGGAAUCACAGACUCAAGUCUUCAUAUUUGUGUUGCUCUGGUUGUCUGGUGUUGAUGGAGACAUUGUGAUGACCCAGUCUCACAAAUCCAUGUCCACAUCAGUAGGAGACAGGGUCACCAUCAGCUGUAAGGCCAGUCAGAAUGUGGGUAUUGCUGUGAACUGGUACCAACAGAAAACAGGCCAAUCUCCUAAACUGCUGAUCUACGCAGCAUCCUACCAAUUUACUGGGUUCCCUGAUCACUUCACAGGCAGUGGAACUGGAACAGAUUUUACUCUCACCAUCAGCAGUGUGCAGGCUGAAGACUUGGCAGUUUAUUACUGUCUGUAUAGUAGCUCUCCUCCCACAGUGCUUCAUCCUCCUACACAACCUCCUCUGAGAUUCUAA